GAAAUGCGAUAAGUAAUGUGAAUUGCAGAAUUCAGUGAAUCAUCGAAUCUUUGAACGCACAUUGCGCCCGCCAGCAUUCUGGCGGGCAUGCCUGUUCGAGCGUCAUUUCAACCCUCGAGCCCCCCCGGGGGCCUCGGUGUUGGGGGACGGCACACCAGCCGCCCCCGAAAUGCAGUGGCGACCCCGCCGCAGCCUCCCCUGCGUAGUAGCACACACCUCGCACCGGAGCGCGGAGGCGGUCACGCCGUAAAACGCCCAACUUUCUUAGAGUUGACCUCGGAUCAGGUAGGAAUACCUGCUGAACUUAAGC
RNAcentral lists this unclassified non-coding RNA (310 nucleotides) under plant metagenome. Its description in RNAcentral is "partial contains 5.8S ribosomal RNA, internal transcribed spacer 2, and large subunit ribosomal RNA". The stretch from base 1 to 105 matches the Rfam family "5.8S ribosomal RNA", at positions 50 to 154 of the family's 154-position model. The record is from RNAcentral.